Molecule: ribosomal RNA, 369 nt
Filed under: Clostridioides difficile
Lineage: Bacteria; Bacillati; Bacillota; Clostridia; Peptostreptococcales; Peptostreptococcaceae
Description: bacterial LSU rRNA
Rfam family: Bacterial large subunit ribosomal RNA
Source: RNAcentral
AUCCUUGGGAUACCACCCUUGUAGUACUGGGACUCUAACCAUAGGCCAUGAAUCUGGUCUUGGGACACUGUCAGGUGGGCAGUUUGACUGGGGCGGUCGCCUCCCAAAAGGUAACGGAGGCGCUCAACGGUUCUCUCAGUACGGUCGGAAAUCGUACGUAGAGUGUAAAGGCAAAAGAGAGCUUGAUUGCAAGACAUACAGGUCGAGCAAGGAUGAAAAUCGGACUUAGUGAUCCGGUGGUUCUGCGUGGAAGGGCCAUCGCUCAACGGAUAAAAGCUACCCUGGGGAUAACAGGCUUAGCUCCCCCAAGAGUCCACAUCGACGGGGAGGUUUGGCACCUCGAUGUCGGCUCAUCACAUCCUGGGGCUG